AGGUGCGAUCAUACCAGCACUAAUGCACCGGAUCCCAUCAGAACUCCGCAGUUAAGCGUGCUUGGGCGAGAGUAGUACUGGGAUGGGUGACCUCC
Molecule: ribosomal RNA, 95 nt
Filed under: Medicago strasseri
Lineage: Eukaryota; Viridiplantae; Streptophyta; Magnoliopsida; Fabales; Fabaceae
Also listed under: 1 other name
Source: RNAcentral